Molecule: long non-coding RNA, 558 nt
Organism: Photinus pyralis (common eastern firefly)
Lineage: Eukaryota; Metazoa; Arthropoda; Insecta; Coleoptera; Lampyridae
Exons: 2
Source: RefSeq, a predicted model, not a curated record
GUAGUUUCCCGUAUCAAUUAUUUUGGUUAUUGCAGGGGAUUUUUUAAAAUGCUGGGAUUACUUACCAGUCGGAGUCAUAUACUCGUAAUAUCGAAACAGUUCACUUACAAUCCAUCUGCAACAUUGCAACAACAUCAUGAAGAACCAAAUCUUAGUUCUUGCAUUUAUUUUAUUAAUAACAUGCAGCGUAGUAACCAAUUCUGCUCCAUCUUAUGAAGGAGGGUUGAUGGUGCGAUCUAAACGCGAAAUUUCCUGCCAAGCUGCAUCGUCUAGACCUAAUGAUCCGAAGUCAUACAAUGAAGCAUGCAGAGCACAUUGCAUAUUAAAUGGCAAAAACACCGGGGCUUGCGCUGGCGGAUACUGCUUCUGUGCUUAAUUGUUUUUCAAAAUAACAUUUCUUGGUCUAAGUAUUAGUACGUAAGGUUUCAUUGUUUAAUUGGUUUAUAUCUAGUAUAUUCUAACAAACUAUUUGCAGAAUUAGAGCAGUAUAGUUUUAGGUGGCACACUUUGAAUACUUUUACACGCUUAUAUGGCUCUCAAUAUUCAUGAUUCAUUUCA